Molecule: long non-coding RNA, 249 nt
Organism: Xiphophorus maculatus (southern platyfish)
Lineage: Eukaryota; Metazoa; Chordata; Actinopteri; Cyprinodontiformes; Poeciliidae
Exons: 4
Source: RefSeq, a predicted model, not a curated record
AUGAAAGGUGUCAGGCUGGUGACGUGGAUGCAUGCGGAUCCUGUUCAACCAACCCUCCAGAGAUUUCCAUAGAAGAACCGUGUCAGGCUGGUCAUGUGGAUGCGUACAGAUCCUGUUCAACCAACCCUCCAGAGAUUUCCAAAGAUGAGCUGUGUCAGGCUGGUGAGGUAGAUGCAUGCAGAACCUGUUCAACCAACCCUGCAGAGCACAAAGUAAACACAGAGAUGGUAAGGGGAAAGAACUCAACAG